UACGCAGGGGGCUAGCGUUGUUCGGAAUUACUGGGCGUAAAGCGGGUGUAGGCGGAUCUUUAAGUCGGAGGUGAAAGCCCAGGGCUCAACCCUGGAAUUGCCUUCGAUACUGGAGAUCUGGAGUGUGGGAGAGGUGAGUGGAAUUCCGAGUGGAGAGGUGAAAUUCGUAGAUAUUCGGAGGAACACCAGAGGCGAAGGCGGCUCACUGGACCCCUACUGACGCUGAGACCCGAAAGCGUGGGGAGCAAACAGG
This 253-nucleotide ribosomal RNA is filed under the name uncultured bacterium. RNAcentral describes it as "partial 16S ribosomal RNA". It matches the Rfam family "Bacterial small subunit ribosomal RNA", at positions 524 to 776 of the family's 1533-position model. The record is from RNAcentral.